This 395-nucleotide ribosomal RNA is filed under the name uncultured soil bacterium. RNAcentral describes it as "bacterial SSU rRNA". It matches the Rfam family "Bacterial small subunit ribosomal RNA", at positions 26 to 423 of the family's 1533-position model. The record is from RNAcentral.
AGAUUGAACGCUGGCGGCAUGCCUUACACAUGCAAGUCGAACGGUAGAGUAGCAAUACUCGAGAGUGGCGAACGGGUGAGUAAUAUAUCGGAACGUGCCCAGUCGUGGGGGAUAACGUAGAGAAAUUUACGCUAAUACCGCAUACGAUCUACGGAUGAAAGCGGGGGAUCGGCAAGACCUCGCGCGAUUGGAGCGGCUGAUAUCAGAUUAGGUUGUUGGUGAGGUAAAAGCUACACCAAGCCGACGAUCUGUAGCUGGUUUGAGAGAACGACCAGCCACACUGGGACUGAGACACGGCCCAGACCUCCGUACGGGAGCAGCAGUGGGAUUUUGGACAAGUGGGACGAAAGCCGUAGACUCCAGCAAUGACCGCGUGGCAGGAAAGGACGGCCGUU